UGGGUUUUAAGUUAUACAAACUGUGGGCUUUCCAAGCCUAAAAAAAUAAGAUUAGACUCAA
RNAcentral lists this transfer RNA (61 nucleotides) under Macrohectopus branickii. RNAcentral describes it as "tRNA-Gly". Lineage: Eukaryota; Metazoa; Arthropoda; Malacostraca; Amphipoda; Macrohectopidae. The record is from RNAcentral.